UACGAAGGGGGCUAGCGUUGUUCGGAAUCACUGGGCGUAAAGCGCACGUAGGCGGAUUGUUAAGUCAGAGGUGAAAUCCCGGAGCUCAACUUCGGAACUGCCUUUGAUACUGGCAAUCUCGAGUCCGGAAGAGGUUAGUGGAAUUCCCAGUGUAGAGGUGAAAUUCGUAGAUAUUGGGAAGAACACCAGUGGCGAAGGCGGCUAACUGGUCCGGUACUGACGCUGAGGUGCGAAAGCGUGGGGAGCAAACAGG
Molecule: ribosomal RNA, 253 nt
Filed under: uncultured bacterium
Lineage: Bacteria
Description: partial 16S ribosomal RNA
Rfam family: Bacterial small subunit ribosomal RNA
Source: RNAcentral